AGAGUUUGAUCAUGGCUCAGGGUGAACGCUGGCGGUAUGGAUAAGGCAUGCAAGUCGAGUGGGUUUAGACCCACGGCAGACGAGGCAGUAACACGUAGGAACGUACCUGGAAGUCGGGCAUAAUCCAUCGAAAGGUGGGACAAUUCCCGAUGGUCUCGCAAGAGUAAAGAUUUAUCGCUUCCAGAGCGGCCUGCGCAAUAUCAGCUAGUUGGUGAGGUAAUGGCUCACCAAGGCUACGACGUUUAGGGGACCUGAGAGGGUGACCCCCGCCGAUGAGACUGAGACACGGCUCAUACCUCUACGGAGGGCCGCAGCCGAGAAUAUUCGACAAUGGGCGAAAGCCUGAUCGAGCGAUACCGCGUGGUGGAUGAAGCGAUUCGUCGCGUAAACAUCUUUUAUGGAGGAGGAAGUCAUUGACGUUACUCCAUGAAUAAGGGGCUCCUAACUCUGUGCCAGCAGGAGCGGUAAUACAGAGGCCCCGAGCGUUACCCGGAAUUACUGGGCGUAAAGAGUGCGUAGGUGGUCGUGUUAGUCGUCUGUUAAAUCCCCCGGCUCAACUGGGGAAUCGCGGGCGAAACGGCACGACUCGAGAGCGUGAGAGGUGCAUGGAACUCUAGGUGUAGGGGUGAAAUCCGUUGAUAUCUAGGGGAACACCGAAAGCGAAGGCAGUGCACUGGCGCGUUUCUGACACUCAAGCACGAAAGCGUGGGUAGCGAACGGGAUUAGAUACCCCAGUAGUCC
Molecule: ribosomal RNA, 741 nt
Filed under: uncultured bacterium
Lineage: Bacteria
Description: bacterial SSU rRNA
Rfam family: Bacterial small subunit ribosomal RNA
Source: RNAcentral